Molecule: ribosomal RNA, 403 nt
Filed under: bacterium
Lineage: Bacteria
Description: partial 16S ribosomal RNA
Rfam family: Bacterial small subunit ribosomal RNA
Source: RNAcentral
UGGGGAAUAUUGCACAAUGGAGGGAACUCUGAUGCAGCGACGCCGCGUGAACGAAGAAGGCUUUCGGGUCGUAAAGUUCUUUUAUAUGGGAAGAUAAUGACGGUACCAUAAGAAAAAGCCCCGGCUAACUACGUGCCAGCAGCCGCGGUAAUACGUAGGGGGCUAGCGUUGUCCGGAAUCACUGGGCGUAAAGGGUUCGCAGGCGGAAAUGUAAGUCAGGUGUAAAAGGCAGUAGCUUAACUACUGUAAGCAUUUGAAACUGAAUCUCUUGAGAGGAGUAGAGGUAAGUGGAAUUUUUAGUGUAGCGAUGAAAUGCGUAGAUAUUAAAAAGAAUACCGGUGGCGAAGGCGACUUACUGGGCUCAUUCUGACGCUGAGGAACGAAAGCGUGGGUAGCAAACAGG